This 309-nucleotide ribosomal RNA is filed under the name uncultured Acetivibrio sp. RNAcentral describes it as "bacterial SSU rRNA". It matches the Rfam family "Bacterial small subunit ribosomal RNA", at positions 355 to 680 of the family's 1533-position model. The record is from RNAcentral. Lineage: Bacteria; Bacillati; Bacillota; Clostridia; Acetivibrionales; Acetivibrionaceae.
UCGGGAAUAUUGCGCAAUGGAGGAAACUCUGACGCAGUGACGCCGCGUAUAGGACGAAGGUCUUCGGAUUGUAAACUAUUGUCGUUAGGGAAGAGAAAGGACAGUACCUAAGGAGGAAGCUCCGGCUAACUACGUGCCAGCAGCCGCGGUAAUACGUAGGGAGCGAGCGUUAUCCGGAUUUAUUGGGUGUAAAGGGUGCGUAGACGGGAAUAUAAGUUAGUUGUGAAAUCCCUCGGCUCAACUGAGGAACUGCAACUAAAACUGUAUUUCUUGAGUGCUGGAGAGGAAAGCGGAAUUCCUAGUGUAGCG